RNAcentral lists this ribosomal RNA (253 nucleotides) under uncultured bacterium. RNAcentral describes it as "partial 16S ribosomal RNA". It matches the Rfam family "Bacterial small subunit ribosomal RNA", at positions 524 to 776 of the family's 1533-position model. The record is from RNAcentral.
UACAGAGGGUGCGAGCGUUAAUCGGAAUUAUUGGGCGUAAAGAGCUCGUAGGCGGUUUGCCGCGUCUGCCGUGAAAGUCCGGGGCUCAACUCCGGAUCUGCGGUGGGUACGGGCAGACUAGAGUGAUGUAGGGGAGACUGGAAUUCCUGGUGUAGCGGUGAAAUGCGCAGAUAUCAGGAGGAACACCGAUGGCGAAGGCAGGUCUCUGGGCAUUAACUGACGCUGAGGAGCGAAAGCAUGGGGAGCGAACAGG